This 1605-nucleotide long non-coding RNA is filed under the name Vulpes vulpes (red fox). RNAcentral's name for it is "lncRNA (ENSVVUG00000014074.1)". The record is from RNAcentral. Lineage: Eukaryota; Metazoa; Chordata; Mammalia; Carnivora; Canidae.
AAAAUUAAUAGGAAAAUUCCCUCCUCCCUGCUAAAAAGAAGUUCUCCUUUCCCCAAUAUUCAGAUGUGUGGACUCUAAAGCCAGGACCAUUCCAUGUUCAGAAGACAAAAAAGAAUAAAUCAAUGUGAAGAGAAAGACCCCUGGUGCUUACAUGCUAUCUAACCACUGAAACUCAGAACCUAAAACAUCACUCCACAUUGCUAUGUGUUACUAGGUUUUAUUCUGAAACAUUAAAGAUAUAAUCCGGGAUGCUUGGGUGGCUUAGUGGUUGAGUGUUUGCCUUUGGCUCAGGUCAUAGUCCUGGGGCCCUGGGAUUGAGUCCUGCAUUGGGCUCCCCAGAUGGAGCCUGCUUCUCCCUCUGCCUAUGUGUCUGCGUCUCUCUGUGUGUCUCUCAUGAAUAGGUAAAAAUAAAAUCUUUAAAAAAAGGAUAUAAUUUGCAUUAGAAAACACUUUCCAUAUAAUAUCCAUAUAAUGUUACAGAAAUUGGUAAAAUGUGUGCAGUUCUUCAGGCUCACCUGAAAUUGUUAACAAACUGGCCCCCAAACUCCCAUUGUUCAACACUUUGGAACAGAAUAGCCUUAGGCCACCGAGAAUUCAGAGCAGAGAACAUAUAAUUCCUCCUCCCCCAACAGAACAAGUGAUACAAUGCCAACGCCGAUAAAACCCCUGGAACCAGGGCACCAUCACAAAUGAGCCAUCACAGGUAGAUUCUAACCCAUGUGGGCAGGCAGAGACAUACAGCCAGUAACAGUAGCUACUGUGAAACAUCAAAAUUUUCCUCCACCACUUUUAACCAGGAAAUAGCUCUUGAUUAACAAGUGAGCCCUGAUAGAAGUAGAACAUCUGACCAUGGGAGCCAAGCUGCCAUUGAUGGCUGAUAUGUCUUUCCCUGACCCAUCAAUUGACCAACCAACAAGAUUCCAUCUUCAAGGAAGAAUACGAAGACUGGGUCUGAGCAGAUUGCCAUAUAGAGGAAAAGUUUCGGACUUGGAUGCAGUUGUUGAUGGAAACAUUUUGUGCUCCUCUUUAGGAAGAAGGUAAGUCCAGGGCCCAUUACCCCAGAGUUAGUUAGAUAAGAGCAUAUUUGGGGAAUAUAAGAGUAAGAAGUAUGUAUAUGAGUAUUUAUAGUUCAAAAUAGUGAAGUGCAGAAUUUAUUUGUAUUGUGUUUUUUUGUGAGAGCCUCAACUACCUUUUUACUUGUAACAAUUCCCAACUACACAAAUUUGGAGAAACAGAAAGCUGUGCCUUCUACUCUAAAAGCUAAAUGGGGCCAGAACUCGGUCUCCUGAGCUACUGUGAACUGGUAUGCAGGACUGUGGCCAUGUCUCAAUUAACCAGAGGAUGCUAUGUUAACUUUGGAUCUUGUAUGAGUGACAUAAAGUCUUAGGACAUUUCAGAGAUGAUGUCCAGCAAGGUGUCAGUGUCCCUGGAAUAAUGGACUACCUAAGUGACACAUACCCAUCAGAGAAUCCCAUUCAGACUGUUCCUGUGGUUGUAAAGAUGGGUGCUUGGCAUUACUUGGUUUCUUUCAAUAUUCUGACCCUGGUUCCCCAGGUUUCCUUUGCUGAUUCUUUGAGUUACUUUCCAUCAGUACAUUAAGUUUAC